Molecule: ribosomal RNA, 409 nt
Filed under: uncultured beta proteobacterium
Lineage: Bacteria; Pseudomonadati; Pseudomonadota; Betaproteobacteria
Description: bacterial SSU rRNA
Rfam family: Bacterial small subunit ribosomal RNA
Source: RNAcentral
GAGUUUGAUCUUGGCUCAGAUUGAACGCUGGCGGCAUGCCUUACACAUGCAAGUCGAACGCGAAAGAGGGGCAACCCUUGAGUAGAGUGGCGAACGGGUGAGUAACGCAUCGGAACGUAUCCAGUAGUGGGGGAUAACCCAUCGAAAGAUGGGCUAAUACCGCAUACGCCCCGAGGGGGAAAGUGGGGGAUCCGCAAGGACCUCACGUUAUUGGAGCGGCCGAUGUCCGAUUAGCUAGUUGGCGGGGUAAGAGCCCACCAAGGCGACGAUCGGUAGCUGGUCUGAGAGGAUGAUCAGCCACACUGGGACUGAGACACGGCCCAGACUCCUACGGGAGGCAGCAGUGGGGAAUUUUGGACAAUGGGGGCAACCCUGAUCCAGCCAUGCCGCGUGAGUGAAGAAGGCCUUC